UCUUUGACAUGCUUUGCAUGGCAGGCUCCCUGCACGUUAUGUGUGGCCAACUGUCAUGGGCUGUCUAUUCAUUGUCCCUUCGAUUAGCUUUUUUGCCUCUCUAUGGGUGCUUCUUUUGGUUGCCUGUAUGCUGUUACCGCUUGGGGUAGUAUGAUUGUCACGUUGUUGCCCAUUUAGCUUGCUCUGUGGAUGCUGUGCGUCGACGGGUGGCCGAGUUGUUCACAAAAUUCCAUGUGUCGCCUUGUGCUUUUGCAUUGGUAAUGCAUUUGGGAUUUUGUGGGGUCUCACGGAUAUUGUCCCUAGAGUGAGAGGACUACGGGCUUCAAGCCUGUAGACCUAUGAGGUUGCCCGUGCAUUUAUCGUUGUUCCUGAUGCUGUGUCGACAUGUCGUGGUUCUUGCGUCAUGUUGGCAGAUAUACAGUGCAUGAUUUUGCGUGUGUGGCAKGCCUUUUUGACCGAUUGACAUGCGAUUGGRGYWKGCAUYRUCAUCARG
This 493-nucleotide unclassified non-coding RNA is filed under the name Cyperus dichrostachyus. Its description in RNAcentral is "partial external transcribed spacer 1f". The record is from RNAcentral. Lineage: Eukaryota; Viridiplantae; Streptophyta; Magnoliopsida; Poales; Cyperaceae.